Molecule: unclassified non-coding RNA, 378 nt
Filed under: uncultured Actinomycetes bacterium
Lineage: Bacteria; Bacillati; Actinomycetota; Actinomycetes
Description: uncultured actinobacterium contains 16S-23S intergenic spacer region
Source: RNAcentral
UCCGAGUUGACCCCGGCAGUCUCCCAUGAGUCCCCGCCAUUACGCGCUGGCAACAUGGAACGAGGGUUGCGCUCGCUGCGGGACUUAACCCAACAUCUCACGACACGAGCUGACGACAACCAUGCACCACCUGUGCACAGGCCCCGAAGGGCUGCCGUGUUUCCACGACAUUCCUGUGCAUGUCGAGCCCUGGUAAGGUUCUUCGCGUCGCGUCGAAUUAAUCCACAUGCUCCGCUGCUUGUGCGGGCCCCCGUCAAUUCCUUUGAGUUUUAGCCUUGCGGCCGUACUCCCCAGGCGGGGAACUUAAUGCGUUAGCGCCGGCACGGGAGGAGUCGACACCUCCCACACCUAGUUCCCAUCGUUUACGGCGUGGACUAC